CUAGUCCACAGACAGGACCCGACUCAGACUGCCGGGAUCGUUACACUGUAUAAGGUACAGAACUUUCCACAUAUUCCUACGUUUACAGUUUUAUUUUACAGCUGGUAAUAGCAGCAACAUUUGUCAAUAUGUCUUCACAGACCUUUAGGUACCUUCUCCUGACCUACUGUAAUGUUACUCUUCCUCACCCUCCUUCCACCUUCAGGAUGCGCAUCAACCAGAUUCGUUUAGUCAGGGGUACUGACAAGAUCCUGCUCACCCUGGCAGACGUGAUCUUCAUCAUCCCCUCACUCAUUAAUAAGAAGCUCAGUUUAGAUGAGAGCAAAGUGGGUGAUAUGAGAAGAAAACCCUUAGGUGCGGAUCGUUAGAGCAUCUCUAUGCCCUUCUCUGACUCCACCGUCACUCCGGCAACCUAUGAAAACACAGGACUCCUUCUGCUCUUCUAAGAAUGGAUCAGAGAGUUCUUCUGAGGGUCAAAGUUCAGAACUAUCAAACGCAUACUUUUUACAGGGAGACUGGGCCUGGGUGAAAAGACUCCCAUCUGGAAACUUUCGAGACAUUACUCCCCAGACCAGUGACGUCUUUGAGUUGAACGAAGACAGUGAAGGACUUCAAGCAUCUCCUGCAGAAAGCGGUGAGGACAUUGUGGAUGAGUAGGGGACAGCUUUCUAUGUGAAGCUAUGAGCUACUCCUAAUCAAUGGACGUUUUUAGAAAUAGACAACAAUGCCUCAUUGGGACAGGUUGAGUUGGCAUUACUGGACAUCACUGGACAUGUUACAGUUGGCAUCAGUGGACAUAUUACAGAUGACAUCACUGGAUAUAUUACAGAUGACGUCACUGGAUAUAUUACAGAUGACAUCACUGGAUAUAUUACAGAUGACGUCACUGGAUAUAUUACAGAUGACAUCACUGGACAUAUUAGAGAUGGCAUCACUGGAUAUAUUACAGAUGACGUCACUGGAUAUAUUACAGAUGACAUCACUGGAUAUAUUACAGAUGACGUCACUGGAUAUAUUACAGAUGACAUCACUGGACAUAUUAGAGAUGGCAUCACUGGAUAUAUUACAGUACAAUAUACUGUAGAGAUUAUUCUGCAAUCUUAAUGAGGAGCUUUCAAAGAGGAAUUUGUCUCAGGAGAAGGAGAUACAGUGGGGGAAAAAAGUAUUUAGUCAGCCAC
Molecule: long non-coding RNA, 1178 nt
Organism: Coregonus clupeaformis (lake whitefish)
Lineage: Eukaryota; Metazoa; Chordata; Actinopteri; Salmoniformes; Salmonidae
Exons: 3
Source: RefSeq, a predicted model, not a curated record